UUUACACAUCAAUCUGCCUCACUGCUGUUC
RNAcentral lists this non-coding RNA (30 nucleotides) under Homo sapiens (human). The record is from RNAcentral. Lineage: Eukaryota; Metazoa; Chordata; Mammalia; Primates; Hominidae.